RNAcentral lists this ribosomal RNA (122 nucleotides) under Falco peregrinus (peregrine falcon). The record is from RNAcentral. Lineage: Eukaryota; Metazoa; Chordata; Aves; Falconiformes; Falconidae.
UGUCUCCUCCAUACCGCCCUGAGAAUGCCCGAGCUCAUCUGAUCUCGGAAGCUAAGCAGGAUCGGGCCCGGUUAGUACCUGGAUGGGAGACGGCUAGGGAGCGCCGGGUGCGUAGCCUUGGU